This 254-nucleotide ribosomal RNA is filed under the name uncultured bacterium. RNAcentral's name for it is "partial 16S ribosomal RNA". It matches the Rfam family "Bacterial small subunit ribosomal RNA", at positions 524 to 776 of the family's 1533-position model. The record is from RNAcentral.
UACGUAGGGUGCGAGCGUUGUCCGGAAUUAUUGGGCGUAAAGAGCUCGUAGGCGGUUCGGCAAGUCGUAUGUGAAAUCUCCACGCUUAACGUGGAGGGGCCAUUCGAAACUGCUGUGACUCGAGUCCGGUAGGGGAGUGUGGAAUUCCCGGUGUAGCGGUGAAAUGCGCAGAUAUCGGGAGGAACACCAGUAGCGAAGGCGGCACUCUAGGCCGGUACUGACGCUGAGGAGCGAAAGCGUGGGGAGCGAACAGG